This is a small nucleolar RNA of Jaculus jaculus (lesser Egyptian jerboa), 71 nucleotides long. Its record names the gene SNORD18. It matches the Rfam family "Small nucleolar RNA SNORD18". Rfam says of the family: U18 is a member of the C/D class of snoRNA which contain the C (UGAUGA) and D (CUGA) box motifs. The record is from Ensembl. Lineage: Eukaryota; Metazoa; Chordata; Mammalia; Rodentia; Dipodidae.
UCAAAAUGAUGAAAUUCCACUUUUGGUCCGUGUUUCUGAAACACAUGAUAUUUAGUGGAAAUUCUGAAUAG